RNAcentral lists this microRNA precursor (97 nucleotides) under Mesocricetus auratus (golden hamster). Its description in RNAcentral is "miRNA (ENSMAUG00000005837.1)". Lineage: Eukaryota; Metazoa; Chordata; Mammalia; Rodentia; Cricetidae. The record is from RNAcentral.
AGAGGCAGGCAGAUCUCUGUGAGUUCGAGGCCAGCCUGGUCUACAGAGCAAGUUCCAGGACAGCCUCCAAAGCCGCAGAGAAACCCUGUCUCGAAAA